AUUAAAAAUAAUUUUUUAUUAAUUGCCAACCUAGCAAAUAAAAGAAAACUGAUCUUUAAAACUGAAAUGCAUGGCCACGCUGAGCCAGCUUUGGGCACUCUGCACACCAGGUGUCCUCUCUUCUUCCUGUUCUGGUUAGCUAUGGUGGCCAUGAAGACCCUGAACCUCAAGGCCAAGGUGGCCCAAGCCCAGGCGGCACUGGAGGUUAACAUCAGUGCGGCCCAGGGGCUGCAGGACAUGCUGAGGACCAACUUGGGGCCUAAGGGCACCAUGAAGAUGCUUGUUUCUGGUGCUGGAGACAUCAGGCUUACUGAAGAUGGCAAUAUGCUGCUUCAUGAAAUGAGUCUUCAUCCCAGAAUAAUAACAGAAGGACUUGAAACUGCAAAGGAAAAGGCACUUCAGUUUUUGGAACAAGUGAAAGUAAGCAAAGAAAUGGACUGGGAGACACUUACAAAUGUGGCCAGAACAUCUCUACCUCCUAAAGUACAUGCUGAACUUCCUGAUACUUUAAUAGAAGCUGUAAUGGACUUCAUUUUGGUCAUUAAACACAAGGUUAACCUAUUGACCUUUUAAUGUUUGAGAUCAUGGAAAUGAAACAAAUCUGAAACUGAUAAAAGCUUAAUCAGAGGUCUUGUUUAGACAUGGGGCACACAUCCUGAUAUGAAAAAAAAAAAAAAAAGAAGAAGAUGCAUACAUCCUCACGUGCACUGUGUCAUUAGAAUAUGAAAAAACAGAAGUGAAUUCUUUUUUUAUAAGAGUUCAGAAGAAGAGGAACUUGAAAAAGCUGAAAAAAAAUUCCUUGAAGAUAGAGUUAAAAAAUAAUAGAACUGAAAAAGAAAGUCUGUGUGAUUCAGAUAAAGGAUUCAUUCAAAAGGGAAUUGACCCCUAUUCCUUAGAUGCUCUUGCAUAGAGUUAAAAGGAGAAAUAUGGAAAGGCUGACUCUUGCUUGUGGCGGAGUAGCUCUAAAUUCUUUUGAUGACCUAAAUCCUGAUUGUUUUGGACAUGCAGGACUUGUCUGUGAGUAUACAUUGCGAGAAGAGAAAUUCACCUUUAUUGAAAAAUAUAACAAUCCUCACUCCAUCAUAUUACUGGUCAAAGGGCCAAAUAAGCACACACUCACUCAAAUCAAAGAUGCAGUAAGGGAUGGUUUGAGGGCUGUUAAAAAUGCUGUUGAUGGCUUUGUAGUUCUAGGUGCUGGGGCAGUGGAGGUGGCAAUAACAAAAGCCAUGAUUAAAUAUAAGCCCAGUGUAAAGGGCAGGGCCCAACGUGGAGUACAAGCAUUUGCUGAUGCAUUGCUCAUUAUUCCCAAGGUUCUUGCUCAGAACUCUGGUUUUGACCUUCAGGAAACACAAGUUCAAGCAGAACAUUCAGAAUCAGGUCAGUUUGUGGGUGUGGACUUGAACACAGGUGAGCCAGUGGUGGCAGCCGAUGUAGACAUAUGGGAUAACUAUCUUGUAAAGAAUAGCCUUACACAGUCCUGCAUUGUGAUUGCCACCAACAUUCUCCUGGUUGAUGAGAUCAUGAAAGCUGGAAUGUCUUCUUGAAAAGGCUGA
Molecule: RNA transcript, 1553 nt
Organism: Odobenus rosmarus divergens (Pacific walrus)
Lineage: Eukaryota; Metazoa; Chordata; Mammalia; Carnivora; Odobenidae
Gene name: T-complex protein 1 subunit zeta-like
Exons: 2
Source: RefSeq, a predicted model, not a curated record